UAUUUUCCAUUGUAACAGAAGGCUUUUAGAAUCCUAUAUCAAAAAUUGAAAGCAAAAGCUAAGGAAAAGGGAGGAUUGAUUCGGAAAGUAGAUCGAGACGAGUAAGAAGAAGAAUCUCAAUUUCAACUGUAUGUUUGUGUUUGAGCAUUUUAAACUCAAUAUUUUUUGGUGCUAUUUACAGUAAACACUGCCGGAUUUCACCACGCCGCCACCAGCUGUUGUAGACGCUGCUCGCUCGGCGCCACCAUCUCCUUCCGUCGCCAGCAGCCGUGGUAUGUUAUCUUAAAUCUGGUUUACCGUAUCCAAUACGUGUAUUCUUUUUCUUGUCGAAUACAAAUUUACAAUUCUUGCUUAAUUGCUAUUGUUGUCCAAAUGGAAUUAGAAUUAGUUGUAUCAAUUGAAAAUAUCAUAAGAUAAUUAAGAAGAAGAAUAUGAGUCUAUGACAGUGUGAUUGCGCGAUUACUUAAGCUACUCUACAAGCGGCAAGGCCCAUUUCUUUCUAUGAAUUUUUAUUUUUUUUGCCAAGAAAAUGGACUUGAUUGAGCUGAAUUCUUCUGUUUGUGUUUGUGUUGAAUUUUUCUGUUUGAGUUUAUUUUGAAGGAUCAAUAAUCCUUCCCCACUAUCUCUUCGCUGGUGAUUUGAAUCUCCAACUUAAUAAUAGGAGGAAAACGUCCUACCAAUUGAGCUAUUUUUCAAAUUGUUCAAUUUGUGUUUGACCAUUUGAGCAUUUGAAAUUCAACAUUUUAUUCUUUUAUUUUUUGAUUAGUCGAAUACCGAAUUGCAUGGACCAGCUCAAUAUUCUGUUGCGGUCAUUGUGGUUCUGGUCCUUCUGGAUAUGGGGUGUAUAUUUGGUUCGAUUAAUAUAACAAUUCAAUUCGAUUAACUGAACCGACCCAAUCCGACCCGACGCGACAGAAGUCCAAAGCCAUGAAUAAGCGCCACCCACAGUUGGGAUGAGACCCAGUGUUCCACAAUUUUAUAUAUGCGAGUCCAUGCUUAUAUUUAUUAUUUUAAAAAUAUUUUUAUAAAAAUAAAAAUUAUUAUAAUACUAUGAAUUAUAUUUAAUUUUUAUUUCAGAAAUUAAAAUUUUUAAAAAAUAUAUACCGUAACUUUGAAUUUAUCAACUUAUUAUUAGCUAAUAAAAAUGAAAUUAAAUAAUAAAAAAUAUUUGUAUACUCUAGAUUGAUAGAAUAAACCCUAGUUAAUAGUCACAAAUUUAAACUAAUUAAAACAUACAAAGUUGAAAUUGAAGAAAAAAUAUAUAAAAAAAUAAACAAAAUUGAAAGUGGAACACA
This 1295-nucleotide long non-coding RNA is filed under the name Salvia miltiorrhiza (redroot sage). RNAcentral describes it as "long non-coding RNA (SMIL_LNC011117)". The record is from RNAcentral. Lineage: Eukaryota; Viridiplantae; Streptophyta; Magnoliopsida; Lamiales; Lamiaceae.